AAUCAUCUGAAUGAUCUUUCUUGGACAUACAUUUUGAAGUGACCCUUCGAAUUAAAAAGGUUCCUCAGCUGCUUUUGAGGAAAAACAUCAAUGUGCUUGGCCACUCUGGUUUUUAAAUGGUAUUCUGAACUAAAGCAAUGAUUGUUCAAGUUAGUUGAAAAUAGACCGUCUCUGGUUAAAUUAGUUCUACACCAAGCCUUUAGGUGGCAGUAAAACGAAUUGGCACAAUGCGAAUUCCACACACAAGCCACAAAGAAGCCAUCAGCCGCGGUCAACAGCACCUUCCUGAUUGAACAGAACCACGCGUUGUCUGUGUGGUUUACAAGUUUCUUGGCGAUAUGGGGGGAAAGUUCCUCACAUACCAACGGAAAAUGGGCUUCAUAUACAUGCUGCUGUCUCAUAAUAUGGCGAAGACGAGUCACCUGAAGGCCUAACUCGCCAUAGAAGACUGAAAGAAUUGUCCUGCAGGAUGCUGUGUCCUGCAAUCCUGUGUGCUGUGCUACAGACGCGUGUGGAGGUCAACCCAAAAUGGGCACAGUCUCACCACAGAAGAGUGAAAGAGGCUCCCAGAAGUGAGACUGAGUGCCUGUUGCAGUAUGACGAGGACGCAGUGACCAGAGACCUUCAGUAGACCCUGCUGGCAUGAUUGGCGUCUGAAGAACAUGAAAUCAACAGCAAUGUUUAUAAUGUUGUACAUACCUGUAUAGUCUGUAUUAAAAGGCAGUACCUGUA
Engraulis encrasicolus (European anchovy) is the source of this 732-nucleotide long non-coding RNA. RefSeq lists it as uncharacterized. The record is from RefSeq and is a predicted model, not a curated record. Lineage: Eukaryota; Metazoa; Chordata; Actinopteri; Clupeiformes; Engraulidae. The transcript has 4 exons.